Coturnix japonica (Japanese quail) is the source of this 940-nucleotide non-coding RNA. The record is from RefSeq and is a predicted model, not a curated record. Lineage: Eukaryota; Metazoa; Chordata; Aves; Galliformes; Phasianidae.
CUAUAAAAUCAUUUUGUGUUUAACUGGCUGUUAACACUUCUGCCAUGUUAACAGCUAGAAUUUUAUGGAGACGAAUAGGAAGCUUACUGCUUAUGUAAGUCCUGCUUUGGAACUGCAGUGCAAGCUGUUCACAACAGAAAUGCAAAUAGCUUCACAAUCUUGAGCCUUCCAGUCUGCUCUUUGCUCCUGGAUUACUGUGAUGGCACAUUUACAUUUACUUUGACAACACUACCUGCCACUGAUAAAGAGGUUGUUGCCCCAUGCAGUACAUUUAAUCACAGUUUGGAAAUACAUAUUGCGCACAGUUAAUUCUGCAUUGGCACAGCAGAUUUCAUCACAGACAAAAGAUGUUGCAUUAUAUAAACUAGUCAAUUCUGAUCAGUGCUAUAAAAGUCACAGAAUAUCCUGAGCUGGAAGAGAUCUGCAUGGAUUAUGGAUUUCAACUUCUGGCCCCACAUAGCUCUACUGUAAGGAAAACUGUUAAUCUCAGCCUGAACCUCUGAUUAACCACCUGAAACAAGCAAUGAGUCAGCUGUGGGAGCACAGGUGAAGGUAAUUCAGCUGUGCUACCAGAAGGGGUGGACCUUGGCUCCACCUCUCCCAGAUCUCAUGUAAGGACUGACUACCACUGAGGCAGGCUUUCUUUCUCUGGAGAUUGUUCCUGUGUGGAGUUUACUGUGAACCUUCAACACUGCUGAGUCAAAGGCACUGUAUACUGCAGUGGAGGGCAUCCAAAACACACAGAGGAGAGUAGCAGCCUUAGCUCUGGAUUCCACAAUUUAAUGGAAUACAUGACUGUGUGGGGCAGCUGAUGGGGGAUUCUGAGGCUCUGAAACAGGACAACCAACCGUGAAGGCAACUGACAUUCCUAUCUGCAAAUCAGAUCUUAGAUGGGUCCUUACAUCAGUUCAGAAGAUUAGGUGAAGGGGAAGAUACAAGG